GGAGAGGUGUCCGAGUCGGCCGAAGGAGCUCGCCUGCUAAGCGAGUAUACGGGCUUAAACCUGUAUCGAGAGUUCAAAUCUCUCCCUCUCCGCCA
This 95-nucleotide transfer RNA is filed under the name Desulfovibrio desulfuricans. RNAcentral describes it as "tRNA_Ser_GCT". It matches the Rfam family "tRNA". From Rfam's summary of the family: Transfer RNA (tRNA) molecules are approximately 80 nucleotides in length. Their secondary structure includes four short double-helical elements and three loops (D, anti-codon, and T loops). Lineage: Bacteria; Pseudomonadati; Thermodesulfobacteriota; Desulfovibrionia; Desulfovibrionales; Desulfovibrionaceae. The record is from RNAcentral. RNAcentral also lists the same sequence under 11 other names.